UUGCAAAUUUCCGCAAGGUUGCUGUUGUGGUAUUUCCAAAACCAGAGGAGCAGAAAUUUCGUGCGGAUAAAAGAUAUAAAGAAAUGGGAAAGGAAGUUCCAGCUGAUGCUGUGAACAAUAUGUUAGCUAAUUAUGUUCUGCCCAAGAGCAAGGAUAUGCCUGGUUCAGAUGAAUUUUUUGAUCAGGUAAUAUUUGCUGAACUGGGUCAAGUAGAAUCACAGAGAUAUUUAGAGGAGAUGAAGCAUGGUCUAAAUACCAACUCUGCACCAUAUUACGAGGAAACUUUUGUUGGUUCAUCAGUGGGGCAGCCUUCAGUGCAAAAUCAAG
RNAcentral lists this unclassified non-coding RNA (327 nucleotides) under Hevea brasiliensis (rubber tree). The record is from RNAcentral. Lineage: Eukaryota; Viridiplantae; Streptophyta; Magnoliopsida; Malpighiales; Euphorbiaceae.